UACGUAGGGUGCAAGCGUUGUCCGGAAUUAUUGGGCGUAAAGAGCUCGUAGGCGGUUUGUCGCGUCUGCUGUGAAAACUCGGGGCUUAACCCUGGGCCUGCAGUGGGUACGGGCAGACUAGAGUGCGGUAGGGGAGACUGGAAUUCCUGGUGUAGCGGUGGAAUGCGCAGAUAUCAGGAGGAACACCGAUGGCGAAGGCAGGUCUCUGGGCCACUACUGACGCUGAGAAGCGAAAGCAUGGGGAGCGAACAGG
This 253-nucleotide ribosomal RNA is filed under the name uncultured bacterium. RNAcentral's name for it is "partial 16S ribosomal RNA". It matches the Rfam family "Bacterial small subunit ribosomal RNA", at positions 524 to 776 of the family's 1533-position model. The record is from RNAcentral.